UUUCGGAUGGAAUCCAAAUUGACUGAGUGGCGGACGGGUGAGUAACGCGUGGGUAACCUGCCUCACACUGGGGGACAACAGCUGGAAACGGCUGCUAAUACCGCAUAAGCGCACAGCUUCGCAUGAAGCAGUGUGAAAAACUCCGGUGGUGUGAGAUGGACCCGCGUCUGAUUAGCUAGUUGGUAAGGUAACGGCUUACCAAGGCGACGAUCAGUAGCCGACCUGAGAGGGUGACCGGCCACAUUGGGACUGAGACACGGCCCAAACUCCUACGGGAGGCAGCAGUGGGGAAUAUUGCACAAUGGGGGAAACCCUGAUGCAGCGACGCCGCGUGAGUGAAGAAGUAUUUCGGUAUGUAAAGCUCUAUCAGCAGGGAAGAAAAUGACGGUACCUGACUAAGAAGCCCCGGCUAACUACGUGCCAGCAGCCGCGGUAAUACGUAGGGGGCAAGCGUUAUCCGGAUUUACUGGGUGUAAAGGGAGCGUAGACGGCGAAGCAAGUCUGAAGUGAAAGCCCGGGGCUCAACCGCGGGACUGCUUUGGAAACUGUUUUGCUAGAGUGCUGGAGAGGUAAGUGGAAUUCCUAGUGUAGCGGUGAAAUGCGUAGAUAUUAGGAGGAACACCAGUGGUGAAGGCGGCUUACUGGACCCAGUAACUGACGUUGAGGCUCGAAAG
This 674-nucleotide ribosomal RNA is filed under the name uncultured Lachnospiraceae bacterium. Its description in RNAcentral is "bacterial SSU rRNA". It matches the Rfam family "Bacterial small subunit ribosomal RNA", at positions 71 to 759 of the family's 1533-position model. The record is from RNAcentral. Lineage: Bacteria; Bacillati; Bacillota; Clostridia; Lachnospirales; Lachnospiraceae.